Molecule: ribosomal RNA, 238 nt
Filed under: uncultured Bradyrhizobium sp.
Lineage: Bacteria; Pseudomonadati; Pseudomonadota; Alphaproteobacteria; Hyphomicrobiales; Nitrobacteraceae
Description: partial 16S ribosomal RNA
Rfam family: Bacterial small subunit ribosomal RNA
Source: RNAcentral
GCAAUACGUCAGCGGCAGACGGGUGAGUAACGCGUGGGAACGUACCUUUUGGUUCGGAACAACACAGGGAAACUUGUGCUAAUACCGGAUAAGCCCUUACGGGGAAAGAUUUAUCGCCGAAAGAUCGGCCCGCGUCUGAUUAGCUAGUUGGUGAGGUAAUGGCUCACCAAGGCGACGAUCAGUAGCUGGUCUGAGAGGAUGAUCAGCCACAUUGGGACUGAGACACGGCCCAAACUCC